UACUAUAGCUUGACACUGAACAUUGAGCCUUGAUGUGUAGGAUAGGUGGGAGGCUUUGAAGUGUGGACGCCAGUCUGCAUGGAGCCGGCCUUGAAAUACCACCCUUUAAUGUUUGAUGUUCUAACGUUGACCCGUAAUCCGGGUUGCGGACAGUGUCUGGUGGGUAGUUUGACUGGGGCGGUCUCCUCCUAAAGAGUAACGGAGGAGCACGAAGG
RNAcentral lists this ribosomal RNA (215 nucleotides) under Escherichia coli. RNAcentral describes it as "partial 23S ribosomal RNA". It matches the Rfam family "Bacterial large subunit ribosomal RNA", at positions 2102 to 2316 of the family's 2925-position model. Lineage: Bacteria; Pseudomonadati; Pseudomonadota; Gammaproteobacteria; Enterobacterales; Enterobacteriaceae. The record is from RNAcentral.